GCCGCGGUGGCAGAGCAUGGCCAAAUGCGCAGGACUUAAGAUCCUGUCCCUAAGAGGGUUCGUCGGUUCAAAUCCGGCCCGCGGCA
This 86-nucleotide transfer RNA is filed under the name Candidatus Woesearchaeota archaeon. Its description in RNAcentral is "tRNA-Leu". It matches the Rfam family "tRNA". Rfam says of the family: Transfer RNA (tRNA) molecules are approximately 80 nucleotides in length. Lineage: Archaea; Nanobdellati; Candidatus Woesearchaeota. The record is from RNAcentral.